UGGUGUACCGGUACACAAACCCGUGUACCGGUACACAGUGCAGAGUGGGCUGUUUUCGUAGAGGGGUGUUUUUGCAAUUGUUGCAACCGCUUUAUAAACAACCCCAGCCCCUUUGAGAGCUCCUUUGAGCCCUAAACCUGAGGAGACAAGGUAAGAACUCCCUCUCUUGAGUUCUCUUCCAUUUUUGAUGGAUUUUGGUGGGUUUUGAUCUUCUCCUCCUUGCUUUUCUUGCUUCUUUUUGGGUUUCCUCCAUGAGAGAAGACUUGAGCUCGGGAUUGGAGCCUUGUGGAGGGAAAAUCUUCAACCCCAUUUGGAUUGGGGCCUAGUUUGGAGCUUCUAAGAGGUUAGUAACUAGAUCCUUUCCUCUAGAUCUAGUUUUUGUUGGAUUUUACUAGAUCAAACCCUAGAUUUUGGAUUUUAGGGUUAAAUUUGGGGAUUUUCGUUUUGAGGGCUUUUGUACCAAAUUGAUGGGUUUAGAACCUUUGUUUAGGUUAGAUUGGAAGGACUCUAGCUCCCAUUUGGAGAUUGUGAGAGCUUCCUUCGCAAUCGGUGAGUUUUUCGUCUACCCUAGCCCUAUAUGCUUAAUGAUUGAACUUAGCGUCGUUCGUUUCGACUAGAUGACACUUGUUCUUGUACCUUUAGGGUACUAGGAGUGUGGUGGACGCCUUCGUCGUGACAAACGAGAGCCUUCGUUGACGACGGUGGGUUUGGCUUCCUUGAAAUCGGAGGAAAUUCCUCCUAAGUGGUUAAAUGCUUUCAUUCUCUUCAAAUUCAGGCAUAUUCAUGUUUAGUAGCAUUUAUGGGAAUUUUGAAUGCUUGGAACUCAUAUGUUAUGCAUCAAGAAAGUUACUCUAUAUAGUAGAGAGACAAAUGUGCUUUGUUAAUAUGCAUGCGACGAAUAUUCUAUGAGAUGAUAGGAAAUAAAGUUUCAUGCUUCGAUUUUGACUAGAAAUUAUAAGUUCUUGAACUUAGUAUCCAUGUUGGGACAAAAUGAGCCAUAGUGUCAUAAAGAGGCACUUGGACUAGAGAAUUAUUAAACUGCAACAUAGAGACUUGAUAAUAGGCCACAUUGACAUCAACUAUAUUCCAUAUUUGAGAUAUGAUGAAAUAGUGACUUGGCCACGAGGACAUUUGCUAUAUACCAUGUUACUGAACAUGAGAAUUUGGUACUUGCGACUGAUCGUUUGAUUACUUGCCAUUGUGCUCAUUCGCACAUGCUUGUGAGGGUCGCUCCCUACAAGCCGGCACUCCGGAGAUGGCCAUCGCGAUACAUAUUCGCCGUGCGGGAUUGGGCGCCGAAGUGGAUUGCCGUGGGCCAGGCUCACUCCUAGGGUGGGGGUGUUGACUACCACGGGGCCAUUAGGCUCGGCACCGGCCAGACAGCCUUCGGGUGGGUCUCAGGGCCAUAGACGGCCUUCGGGUGGGUCUCUUCAGAUUUGACUUGAGCAUUCAUCAUGACAUGUGGACAGAUACUGACUUAGAGUAUUACUUGGACUUUGACUAGAAUAGUAAACAACGGAUCUUUACUAUUUCGCAUUGUGAACAUUAUGAUAGUUGGAGACUUUUACUUCAUGCAUAGUUGUUU
This 1585-nucleotide long non-coding RNA is filed under the name Ananas comosus (pineapple). Its description in RNAcentral is "long non-coding RNA (ACOM_LNC039823)". Lineage: Eukaryota; Viridiplantae; Streptophyta; Magnoliopsida; Poales; Bromeliaceae. The record is from RNAcentral.